AAACAAGUCAAUGAGCAGUCCUAAUGUGAUCUGAAUGAGGUAUUUCUUUCUUUAGAAAGCAUCCAGGGGCCCCAGGAUAAAGUUCAAGGUCGCAGGUCAGUGCACAGGGCUCCUCACGACCUGACUCCACCCAGCUUACCAAGUGCACCUCCUCUACGCACAAAUGAAGGCAAGGAGCCGGACCUUUAAAUAAGCAUGCCAGAAUUUUGUAUAUCUGAAUGAGUAUCCUCUCUUAUGGCAGCAGUGUGUUGUUCUCGAUGUUUGUUCCAGAGGUCGCUGUUGCUGUAGAUGUCAGCGUCAGAGGAUUCCCCUGGUGGAUUUUAUACCCUGAGCGAGGGGCGUAGGAGCAACGUCCUUUUGGCCAGGGAACACUGUUGGAGAACAUAACCCGGUAAUCGCAGUGGGGAGAGGAAAUUUGGACACAGACGUGAUACGGAGGGAAGAUGAUGUGAAGACACAUGGAGAAGAUGCCACCUACAAGCCAAGGAGAAAGGCCUGAACAGAUCCUUCUUUCAUGCCCUUCAGAGGGAACCAACCCUGCUGACACCUUGAUCUUGGACUUCCAGCCUCCAGAGUUGUGAGACAAUACAUUUCUGUUGUUUAAGCCCCCUGUCUGUGGUACAUUGUUAUGGCAGGCCUGGCAACCAAUACAGUACUCUAGUGGACAUUUCCUACGAAUGAGGACACUUCCCUACAUGGCCAACCAUGCAAGAUCAAAACCAGGAAAUUGACACUGAGUCCUCUUUUGGACCUGGCUUUCUGACUGGGCCAGCCUCUAUACCUGGUAAGCAAUUUUACCUGGUAAGUUCAUGAUGCUUCUGUCUUGGAAGCAGAACUUGAGACAUUGUCGUGGUGGAUAAUGGUGAUGUCAGGACAGACCAUUUGUGGUAGGUCUGGUGGGUAGGUGGUGGCCGUUGCUGAGCUCCUAUUUCACACAGUUGCCCAGAGAAUUGGAACUAUGCUUUCCACAUGCAGAGAAACAGUGCUAGGACCCAGAGAGCUACUCCUAAGCAUCACAGAAUUUUGGUCCCUCGAGCAAUGGCUCAGUCAAGAUGGGCCACACAGGUUCAGAACAGUUGAACGGCUCUGCAGCUACAUAAGGUGGUGCUAUGAUCUCUAAAACCUGGAGCUCAUGCCAGAUGGUGUAUUCUGUCCUGCCCCCACCCCUGGGACUCCCAUUUCUAGUGUGUCACCCCUCCUUCCUCCACAAGACGUAUCCCUAGCUAGUUAUAGGAUACUGUUGAGCUAUCAGAUGAAGUUAAUUGAAGUUGGAGAAGCACAGCUCCCCACCACUGCCCACCUUGUGUCUUUAUUGGCAGUGUGGCUAUCUGUGAGGAAUGCAGACGUUUCCCAGCCUGGAGUGCAAUUUACAUGUCCCUCUCUCUCUCCCUGUCUCGUUCUCUCUCUCACCUACACUACUGACCUGCUGAAUGUUUAUUGAACAUACCAUUAUUUAUUAGCAUUGCAAAUGGCAGUUAUGCUGAUGCUGAAGAUGGAGGCACUGACAUCCUUGGUGCAGACGACAGAACCCUUGGCCUAAUACUGGCAGCUGCAGCAUGGGCAGCAACACAAGCACCGGACAUCUUUUGUUUGUCCUUCCAGAUCUGUUCUCUGUCCUUCUCCACCCUGCUCUGUGACCUGGGAGCCUGACCCAUAUGGUCCAUUUGAGUGGUGUGCUGGAGCCCGUGAGAGCUGAUUAUGUGCAUCUCUUCUUAGCUCCAUGUUUGGUGACCAUGGUAGGAAUAUUUGCACCAUGGAAAUUGGCAAACACUAUAAAUAAGUGUGCACACACGCAGAGAGCUUGUUAAAUAUUUAUUUACCAGCACACCACAGGAGCUAUGUUAAUAUAUCAAUAGCCUCCCUUGCCCCUUUGGCUUCUGGUUGGGUUUGGACAUUGGGAGGCACCUGAAGAGGGUUGAAGGGUGGGAAGAGAGUGUAGUCAGAGUAUCCGUUCUCCUGGCUCCGUCCCUAACGGGUUCCCCCAGCUUGGGUGCCUCCCUCUACAAAGUCUUCAGCUGCUGUCAGGCACCCUCUCCACAUCCAUCCUCUCUGGAAUACAGACACUCCUUGCCUGUCCCUCUUCAGCCCUAUGAGGGGUGCUGGCUCCGGGCACCACGUCAUCUCUCCCUCGCUUCCCUAAACCCUACCUACACUGAUAGACCCUUCAUGACACUCCUCUAAUAACCCAUUUGAGUGUGUGCCACUUCUUUCCCUCCAUGACCCUGACUGAUACGAAGCCUAACUAUGUUCAGUCGUGUGGGACUGCUUGCUUGUGUCCUGGGUGCAUUUCCUGGGUCUCCAUUUAGAUACUAGGUUCCAAGAGCAGUGGUUUCAAACCCUUUAUGGCCUUGCUUGGGAGGUUUUCUUCAAGUGAAAUCUUUUCUGAAAACUCAAUAUAUACAUUAGAUAAAGACUCUUUUUGUAAAAAAAUUUUUUGCUGAGGAAGAUCUGCCCUGACCUAACGUCUAUCCCAGUCUUCCUCUGUUUAUGGGCUGCCAACACAGCAUGGCUGCUAACAGAGUGGUAUAGGUCCGAGCCUGGGAACUGAACCUGGGAUGUUGAAGUAGAGUGUGCUGAACUUAACCACUAGGCCACUGGGGCUGGCCCAAAAGAUUCUUGUCUUAAGUGGAGUAGAAGUGAGGUGCUGCCUGCUUCCUGUCCUCCCCUCCUCAUCUCCCAUGGGCCAUGGAUGCCCUUCACUGGAACCCCGAGGAUCCGAGAAGCACGAUGUAAAUACCCAGUCCUAGAAGACAGACUAUGGUGUACGUUUCCCAGGCGCCUAGAGAGAUGUGCAUAACCCUCAGGCGUGUUUUCAAGCUACUGUUUCCAGAAUGCCUGCUGUGUGCCAGGCCCUGUUCUAGUGCUUUAUGUCAGUUAGUUCACUUAAUCCUCCCAGCAGCCCUGGUGGAGCUGAUGAAGUGCCUUCAUUAUCCACAUCGUGUGAACAGGGAACCCCAGAGCAGUGUGGGUAAUCAUUGCCCAGGACCACAUGGCUGGUCUAGCUACAGAGUUAGCUGCAGAGCUGUGUUCUGAUGCCCUCUGCAUGCGCUCCUAAAUAUGUGUUUGAGUGAUUAGAUGAGGAGCAAGUGAGCUCAGGUGUGAGGAAAACCUCACAGCAUCAGAAUCCAGCUGAGGAACCCUGCCUGCCCUGUGGAUUUCCUCCAUGGCUUCCCCAGGCUCCAUCUCUGACAGCUCACUCACAGGGAGACGGUCCCUGAUGUGGAAGGAGGAAGGUGCUGCUGCUCUGAAAUGUGCCUGAGGAGAUGUGCUGUCCCUCAGCCGGCGACACAGAUGCAGGAAGAAAGGAGCCAGCUUCUCAGGCUGCCGCAGGCCCAGGGACGCAUCUUCCUGAAGACACUGCAAGCUUGAGGCCUUCGAACCGCGGCUCUCGGGACUGAGCCAUCAGUACCUGCGAAGUUUUGUCUCUGGGACUUCGAUAGCACCUCCAGUCAGACAUGUUAAAAAACAAAAUAACAAAAGCCAAGCAAACCCCACACCACCCGGAGGUUGUAUACAAGUCUCAAAUUUCUGAUCUGCCGUACAUCCAGAAGUGACGUCAAACGUCAUUUUACAAACGCUUUAUCCAUUUCUCAAUUAGGAGUUCUCAAAGAUGUCGAGACCAAGAGUAUCUGAAUAAUACAAAAACCCCACUUCCUUUCACUAUUUUUCCUUUCCUCAGGUAGAAAAACAAAUCGUUAUGAGAAUGACUGGGAGAAGUCAGUGGGGUGAGGCUUGGCCUUUAUUAAGUAGCAGAACUGAAUUAUUAAUUCAUGUGAGGAAUGAAAGUACAGUCUCUUAUACCCUAAAUGUUUGGACCUCAAAGCCCAGCCCACACGUUUCCUGCGAGGAACACUGGCUACACGAUUUGUAGGGCCCGGUGCAAAAUGAAAAUGAGGCACCCCUUGCUUAAAAUUGUUCAGAAUUUAAGACAUCAACAGCAGAGCUUUCAAACCCAGUGCACGGCCCGCUGGAGUGAGGAGCCCUGGGUGGACGUCCGUGGAGCUGGCCCGCUUGGGAGCGGUGACCAGCAUUUGAGCCCUGGGAGAAAGGGAAAGGUAAACCUUCUACUCUACCAGUGGAUGCCCAAGAAAGAAGCAACCUUGUGCACCAGGUCACACCAAAGAAGGCUGGGGUCAGACCACCACUCCCAAUGCACCCCCUUCAUGUCUGUGUUUGGAAUAAGAACUCCAGCCCCCACCCACUGAACCAGUGUCUGUGUCACCAGUGGAUGAGACCCAAUUUCUGGAAUAAAGAGGAAAGGAUCUGUGUCAGAGGUUUGUCACCUCCUUUUUUAAUACACUUGAAUUUUUAGAGCAGUUUUAGGUUUGCAGCAAAGUUGAGAGGAAGGUGCAGAGAUUUCCCAUAGACCUCUUGCCUACACACAUGCAUAGUCUCCCCCAUUAUCAACAUCCUCCAGCAGAGCGGUCCAUUUGUUACAAUUGAUGAACUUAUAUUGACACGUCAUUAACACCCAGACUCCAUGGUUUACGUUAGGGUCAUGCUUGGUGUUGUCCAUUCUGCAGGUUUGGACAAAUAUAUGAUGUCACGUGUCCAUCAUUACAGUAUCAUACAGAACAGUUUCACUGCCCAAAAUCCUCUGCUCUGCCUGGUUAUCCUUCCUUCCUCCUAAUGAUACUUCAGCUAUUUUUUGGUGCCAUGGACUCCUUUGUCAGUCUGGUGAAGUCUUUGGUCAUCUUUCCAAAAUAAGAUUUUUAAUGCAUAAAAUACAAUAAUAACUCAAGUACAAAAGGAAGUCAUACACUAAAUAAAGUUAUGAAAACAUUAAAAAACAAAAUCAUGCUGGUAAUCCGUUUGCCCCUUUAUUAGC
Molecule: long non-coding RNA, 4828 nt
Filed under: Equus caballus (horse)
Lineage: Eukaryota; Metazoa; Chordata; Mammalia; Perissodactyla; Equidae
Description: lncRNA (ENSECAG00000041701.2)
Source: RNAcentral